Long non-coding RNA from Coregonus clupeaformis (lake whitefish), 339 nucleotides. RefSeq lists it as uncharacterized. The record is from RefSeq and is a predicted model, not a curated record. Lineage: Eukaryota; Metazoa; Chordata; Actinopteri; Salmoniformes; Salmonidae. The transcript is spliced from 3 exons.
UGUUCCAUGGUCAGAUAGACUGGAGUUUCUAAAAGGCUGGUAUAUCCUCAUCAUCUGCUCCAUUUAAAAAAUAGAAAUCCAGACAAAGAUUAUGACCAAUUACGAUGUCUGCAGUAUCUUUCUUGGGACAGGCACAAUGCUCGUUUCGAUGGGAGUCAUACACUACAUGGGCUACUUCAAGAGAUACAAUCAGCAGGAGUGGAGCCUAUUGUCGGCGCUGCCUGCGUUCAUGUCGAAGUGCAAAGACCUGCUCACCUCAGGACGCUACCAAGUCAAGGGCUCCUGUACCUGCUCCUCCAUAACCAGCUGCUUCCCCAAGUGAGACCAACCUGAGUGACA